AUUCCUACGGGAGGCAGCAGUGGGGAAUAUUGCACAAUGGGCGCAAGCCUGAUGCAGCGACGCCGCGUGAGGGAUGACGGCCUUCGGGUUGUAAACCUCUUUCAGUACCGACGAAGCGCAAGUGACGGUAGGUACAGAAGAAGCACCGGCCAACUACGUGCCAGCAGCCGCGGUAAUAAU
Molecule: ribosomal RNA, 180 nt
Filed under: uncultured bacterium
Lineage: Bacteria
Description: partial 16S ribosomal RNA
Rfam family: Bacterial small subunit ribosomal RNA
Source: RNAcentral